GAGGCCGCCCCCUGCCGCCCGGAGGCCGCGAGCCGCCCGGCCCGGCCCUCGCCGCGGGGAUGCCUGCGCGGAACCUGCUGCUCGGCGAGCUCCAGGCCCUUCCCGGCGCGGAGACCCUCCGGACGCUGGGGGGCCGCUCCAGCCCGCAGACGCCGAGGUUCUCGCACUGCCCCUCGCGCCCGAGGUCCCUGCAGGAGGACAUGGCCCAGCAGAAAAGUAGGCUGGAGCCACCCACCUUGGAGUCCUGCCAAUGUAGCGGAAGCUGCCUCCUUCAGGACGGAGCAGGAACAAAAAAGUCAGAGCAGGAGCCAGUCCAAACUUUUGGCACAUCCAGCAUCAAUUUUGCUGUGAACUCUAAUCCUCCAAGUAAAAUCCAGAAAACCCCAGCCUCUCUGGCAGCCAGGACAGAGCAUGUGACCAUCUUUGGUUUAUUUUGGGAGGGAGUCACAAAGAGAAGAUUUCUAUCACUGAAAAUAAAUGGAGAAAAGUGA
RNAcentral lists this long non-coding RNA (491 nucleotides) under Vulpes vulpes (red fox). Its description in RNAcentral is "lncRNA (ENSVVUG00000004669.1)". Lineage: Eukaryota; Metazoa; Chordata; Mammalia; Carnivora; Canidae. The record is from RNAcentral.